Molecule: ribosomal RNA, 400 nt
Filed under: uncultured bacterium
Lineage: Bacteria
Description: bacterial SSU rRNA
Rfam family: Bacterial small subunit ribosomal RNA
Source: RNAcentral
UAGGGAAUUUUGCGCAAUGGGCGAAAGCCUGACGCAGCAACGCCGCGUGAUUGAUGAAGCCCUUCGGGGUGUAAAGAUCUGUCAGCAGGGACGAAUUUUGACGGUACCUGCAGAGGAAGCACCGGCUAACUCCGUGCCAGCAGCCGCGGUAAUACGGAGGGUGCAAGCGUUGUCCGGAAUCAUUGGGCGUAAAGAGUUCGUAGGUGGCCUGUUAAGUCAGGUGUUAAAGGUCGAGGCUCAACCUCGGUAUGGCACUUGAUACUGGCAAGCUUGAAUGCGGUAGAGGUAAAGGGAAUUCCUGGUGUAGCGGUGAAAUGCGUAGAUAUCAGGAGGAACAUCGGUGGCGUAAGCGCUUUACUGGGCCGUUAUUGACACUGAGGAACGAAAGCCGGGGUAGCAA